CCUACGGGAGGCUGCAGUCGAGGAUCUUCCCCAAUGGGCGCAAGCCUGAGGGAGCGACGCCGCGUGCGGGAUGAAGGCCUUCGGGUUGUAAACCGCUUUAGGAGGGGAGGAAGCCGCAAGGUUGACCUAUCCUCAAAAUAAGCACGGGCUAAGUUCGUGCCAGCAGCCGCGGUAAGACGAACCGUGCGAACGUUGUUCGGAAUCACUGGGCUUAAAGGGCGCGUAGGCGGUCUAUCAAGUCGGGGGUGAAAUCUUUCGGCUCAACCGGAAAACUGCCUUCGAUACUGAUAGGCUGGAGGGAGGUAGGGGUUGCGGGAACUACCAGUGGAGCGGUGAAAUGCGUUGAUAUUGGUAGGAACGCCGGUGGCGAAAGCGCGCAACUGGACCUCUUCUGACGCUGAGGCGCGAAAGCUAGGGGAGCAAACGGGAUUAGAUACCCU
RNAcentral lists this ribosomal RNA (440 nucleotides) under uncultured bacterium. Its description in RNAcentral is "bacterial SSU rRNA". It matches the Rfam family "Bacterial small subunit ribosomal RNA", at positions 338 to 788 of the family's 1533-position model. The record is from RNAcentral.